UACGGAGGAUUCAAGCGUUAUCCGGAUUUAUUGGGUUUAAAGGGUGCGUAGGCGGAAUAUCAAGUCAGCGGUAAAAAUUGCGGGGCUCAACCCCGUCGAGCCGUUGAAACUGGCAGACUUGAGUUGGCGAGAAGUACGCGGAAUGCGCGGUGUAGCGGUGAAAUGCAUAGAUAUCGCGCAGAACUCCGAUUGCGAAGGCAGCGUACCGGCGCCCUACUGACGCUGAGGCACGAAAGUGCGGGUAUCAAACAGG
This 253-nucleotide ribosomal RNA is filed under the name uncultured Bacteroidales bacterium. Its description in RNAcentral is "partial 16S ribosomal RNA". It matches the Rfam family "Bacterial small subunit ribosomal RNA", at positions 524 to 776 of the family's 1533-position model. Lineage: Bacteria; Pseudomonadati; Bacteroidota; Bacteroidia; Bacteroidales. The record is from RNAcentral.